UGGCCCUCCGCCGCCGCGAUCCGCCGUCCGCCGUCGGCGUCGGCGCCGCAGCUGGAGGACGAGAACCAAGGCCGGGAGCUUGUGUUCACCCCCCUUCUCGACGCUCCCGACCGCAUCCCGCGGGAGCGCUUCUCGCUGCGGCCCGGCGACGAGAUCGAUUUCUGGGGUCUGCUCGGGUGCCGCCAUGGACGUGUCCUCUUCAUCAGCACGUUUCGUCGUGCGCUCCUUGUGCUCGACCCCGUCAACAGCGACCGCCUGCGCGUGGCAAUGCUGCUGGAUUUGGUCCGGUAUGUCUUCGGUGGAGCCGUGGUCUGCGCAGCCGGCGACGACCAGGGCCACGUGCACGGAGACUGCCAUUCGAGCCCCUUUAAGGUGGUCCUGGUAGGCACCAGAGAGCACCACCCAGCCAUAGCCUGGGUCUACUCCUCCGAGACCGGCAUGUGGAGCAAUCUUGUCUUGACCAUGGAACCAUGCGACGGUCUGAUUGACGUCCAUUUCCCCUGUACCCUUGUCGACAAUGUCCUUUAUUGGUGGUUGUAUGGGCAUGACAAUGGCAUACUCGAGUUCGAUCUGCAUACCCAGACACUAGCUGUGACCGAGGGGCCUUCCCGUGCGGACAUCAACUCUAUCAACAGCCGGAUCAUCAGGGGAGAGGAUGGCGGUGUUGGCGUCGCAGUAUUUUCGUAUCUGAGCUUGAAACUGUGGAAACGCAAGGUCAGUAGUCAGGGUAUUCACACAUGGGUGCUGCAGCAGAUUGUUGUCUUCCACAAGAUCAUUGAUCUUACACAUCAGAUCAAGACAAGGAAGGAAGCUAUAGUGGGGUACUCAGAGGAUGCAGGUGCGGAUCUUAUAUCGGUGCCUUGCUGUAUAGGUAUCAGGACAGGGAAGGAAGCUAUAGUGGGGUACUCAGAGGAUGCGCAUGUGCUUUUUAUAAAGGUGUCUUGCUGUUCAGGACCCCAUACCUUCAUUGUUGAACUUGAGUCAAUGCAGUCCAGGAAAAUUAAUCAAAGUUUUUUGGAGAAUUCCUAUCAUCCGUUCACAAAUUUCUUCACUGCAGUUGUGCGAAGGUUUGCACACAUUCUAUACAAACUCAUUGCAAGGAACCUCAUGGUGUGCCGUGUGCCCACGCCAGGAACC
Molecule: ribosomal RNA, 1137 nt
Filed under: Triticum aestivum (bread wheat)
Lineage: Eukaryota; Viridiplantae; Streptophyta; Magnoliopsida; Poales; Poaceae
Description: partial small subunit ribosomal RNA
Source: RNAcentral